AAGUUGAGGACGACCAUCUAGAACGGGAAAAUGUUUCCGCAUACAAGCCAUCAUGGAUAAAGCCUCUGCAGUAAGCUACAAACAUUGAAGACUUGCAGAAAACAUGAACUUUAGGUUAUUUAUGUGCAAUUUGGGGUAGCAUGGUUGGUAUUUUCUAAUGAAAAGCCAUGAAAUCAUUACAGCAACUAGUAUAAAGACCAUCAAGCUUCUUUACCAGAAAUUGUGCAUCCAUGUAAGAUUUUUUGGUUCGUUUUUGUACUCAGAUAAGCAGCAGACAGAGAAUUUCAAGUUAUGCACCUGGUCUGAAAGUCAGUUAUUACUGCAUCAACAACCCAAACUGGAAAUUCCUUCCCCAGCAGUUUCUUUCUUAGCUCCACAGCUGUAUAAGCUCUAAAGGAUAAAUGCACAGUUUAGUAACAAAAGUUCAUCAGUGGCAUAUAUUGUGUAGCAAGAUCGAGUUUGACUAUUUAGUGACUUAAAAUUUUAUUACUAAGUAAUGAAUCUGAGGAUAGAAUAAAAACAGAAAAAGACAAAACUUUUUAAAUUCUCCACAUGAACUAAAUUGGAAGCCAUACUCAUUUUCGAGUAGUGAACACAUUCUCAUGGCCAUUGUAGCAUGUUGCAGUGGAAUUAUUAUAGUACGCUGGAAUCAAAUGACAGGACCAAACAUAAGGUCCACUUCAGGACAUGUAAUAAGUAUUAACAUGGCGAAAAUUGUCUCAGAAGUUACUCCUGCUCAUAUAAGAAAUGCAUAAGGUUGCCCAUACUUAGCAGAAAAUCAAUAAACCUGUGAAGCUUUACCACCUCGUAGCAAGUAAUUCAAUGGCCAACUUCUCAACAUCUUUCUUUAUUCGAGAUCCUUGAAUCCUAUGGUCUUGAUUGCUCUCCUCUUCCGAAAAACCUUCGAGUUCCUCCAUGACCUCGUAGCUGUCGUACUGCAUAUGAUCAUCAGGUUCUUCUCCAAUCCCUAAAAAUGGAAGAUGUCGCUAAGUAUCUCAAUUGAACUCUACCAAUCGAAAAAAUAUCUAUGAGAUAAGCGUAUCAAAAGUCCUACCCAAUCCAGCAUCAUAAUCAAUUCUUUUUGCAUAUUGGCUUUGAAACUUGUUAUCUACAAUACAAAUCUGGCCACAGCUUGAAGUCUGUGCACUUUUGGAAAGAUCACGUCUCUGUUCAUUUGAUUGAACAACUCUACUUGUACCAAAUUCAAUAUUAUUUUUUAUGCUGUUAAUUGGGUUUUCAUUUUGAUCUUGAAACUCAGUGUCCCCCACAAAGCUCCUGCUGCUGCAUGAUGUCUGCACACUCUUGGAAAGUUCACUUCUUUGUAUAUUUGAUCGAACAGCUCUAUUUGAAGCUGAACCAACAUCACAGUCUAAGUUAUCAAUUGGCUUUUCAUUCUCAUUCAGAAACUCUGCACCAACAACAAAGCUUCUGCCACUGCAUGAGGUUUGAGCACGUUUGGAAAGUUCACGUCUGUCCUCAUUUGAUCCAGCAACUGUAAUUGUAUCCAAUCCAACAUCAGCUUUCAAACUGUUAGUUGGCUUUUCGAUUUGACUUUGAAACUCCAUGUCCACAACAAAGCUCGUGCUACUGCAAGAAGUCUGUGCACCUUUAAAAUGUUCCAUUCCCUCUAGAUUUGAUUGAACAACUUUACUUGUAUCCAAUCCAGUAACUGGCUUUUCUCUUUCUUUUUGGUAUUGAAACUCCGUGUCAGCAACAAAGCCCCUGCUACUGCAAGAUGUCUGCGCACUAUCCGAAAUUCCAAUCCUUGGUACAUUUGACUCAACAACUCUACCACCAUCCAAUGUCACAUCAUUGCUUAUGUUGUGAAUUGCAUUUUCAUUUAGAUUUCGAAGCUUGGAACCUAAAACAAAGCCCCUUGUACUGCAUGAAGUCUGCUCACUUUUGGAAAGUUCAAAUCUUUUGCCAUUUGAUUCCGAACUAUUAGUACCAUGUAUUUUCACAUCACCUAAUCCAUUUGAGGGAGAAUAAAAAGAAGCUUCUGGUUCUUUAUUUUCUAACAAUUUCUUAGGAAUGUACCUUACUGGAACCGAAUUGCUGUAGUCUCUCCUCCUUGAACAGCUAAUAAUUCCCAUCUUCAUCUUCUUUUUCACCCUAACAAGUAAAAGUUCGAGUCUUUUUCACUACAAUCAAGUUUGUACAUCGAAAAAACCAUCGCCUGCGUUCUCUCCACAAUUCCAAAUAUAAGAACAAAACUCUAACUUUGUACUAGAAUUCCCAGGAUUAAUAUUUUUUUUUCUCGAAAGAAAAAGAAAGGGAAACGGGAGAAUUACUUACCAGGGAAUCAGAAGGACUUGCCUCUGUAGCUGAAUUGCAGUUCUGGGGAUUAGAUUUGCAGAUGAAAUCGCCAUUAUUGGUUUCGAGUUUGAGAGUGGAAUCAUAAAACUAAAACCCUAGGCAACAAAGCAUAAUUGUGGGAAUUAUGAGGUUUUAUCCGUGCCUGAUAGCGUUAGAGAGUAGUCUCAAAAAGCGAACCCGCUACUCAAAGUGUCACUAGCACUCGGAAAUGGGCACGCUUCAGCCGUUUUUCAGUUGUGAUAAUCACCCCAACGACUGAACUCCCACUUCUACUGUGCAGAACAUGGAAGAACCCCAGUUAUCUUCCCGAUGCCAAUUGCUUCACUAGGUUCUCCAAUUUAUUUGAUGAAACAUAUGGAAGGCUUUCGGGGGCAAAAAGAAUUUAAAAAAAAAAAAAGUGUAGUGACAGUGAUAUACCACUCACUUAAUCCUUUUACUAGUUUAAUAAAAAAAAGAAGUGUUGAAACUUUUGGCUUCAAUUUUGGAUGAGAAACAGGCAAAAUUUAGGGGGUUGAAUUUCUUUGUUUAUUUACUAGAAAGAAUCAAGCAGGCCACUAAUUCAUGGAUGCUUGAAGGUCCUCAGGCUCUGUGAUAGUUCAUUUGCUGAUUUCAUCAGGGGAGUUCCAAAAUAAACCAUAUGUUAUCAGAAAGCCAAAAUAAGAUUUUUUUUUUUUUUUUUUAAAGUGCUGGAUGAUUACCCAAGAUGUAUGCAGUUUGAUGACACUUCACUAAAACUAAAUCCUGACACACUUUAUUUGAUAACCAAGGAGAAAAUCACCAGUACAUGUUACAAAAAUUUCCAGACCAUAAUAAUCCCACUCAUUCUGUCAUCCAAGCAUAAAGGAAAUGGCAGAAUUCAGUGCAGGAUAAUUCUUCCGGUCUUAAAUCACAAUUUUCACCACUAGGAGCAUCAUGGUCUAAAUUUCUUCCACCAUAGUCGUUAUCAAAUUCACAUUCAAGAGUACCUUGCAUGAAAAUGAAUGUCCCAGGUCCUGAUUCAUUGCUAUUGUAUAACCAAUCGUGCACAUCCCAGAAAAUCUGUACAGGCACGUCAUCCACUAAUAGAGUUUCAUUUCCCCUGAAUCUCCAAUGCAAGUUGGGAAUUCGUAGCGACUCAACGCCAUCCACACUAAUCCACAUUUCAGGAUCAUAAGGCCCUGAUAGAGCAGACUCGAUUAUGAUGUGAUGUUCCCUUUUACCUUUGCCUAACAUGGUUCUGGUGCAAAAACAUCUCUUGGCAAAAACACUCUCUUUCUUAUGCACUAAUGCAGCAUCCAUCGGUGACGGUUUUGACCUGGUUCUUUUAUAUGCUUCUGUCUUUUGAUCACCAAGCAAUAAAACAAGCUCUUUUUCAGAGACCAAAGCAACAUAGUAAUCAGAGACUGGUUCCGGGCUGCUGGAAAAUUUUGCUGUCCUUAAAUCCCAAAAGACAUCCACUCUUCUUUCACCUACUUUGAAGGAUUUUAGACCUUUUUUGCCCCAAAACUGCCAGGUUUGAGAUCUAUUUUGCAUGUUGAAUGAUUUUCCUCAGAAGGGUUCUCAACCAAGAUGUGAAGAGAGUGGCCCAUUAAACUUUUGGACCAUGAUACCAUGAUGUCCCGAGACAAUCCUGCAAGUCUGGCCCUGUGGAUGCAGGUUACAAAAUUCUCUAUACUUUCAUUUGCCACGGCCUCCGUUAAUCGUCUCUGCUCAAGUUGCUCAGGAUCCAAAGAGGAUGCAGUUUCCACAGGGAAUGCAACCAUUUUUCAGUAUUUUGCAUGAAAUUUACAUCCCUCGCUAUUUUGACAGUGAAAACGACAGAACAUGCAUUGUUCCUUAAGCAGGGAUGAUAUCAUAUCCCAUUUUCAUUCUGGAAAUACAAAAUCUUCUCCCACGAGAUGAAUAUGUGCUUCAAAUCAAAAUCAUCAAACACAAAUGUCUUGUGUGCUCGGCAAUGCAAACUAGUUACUAGCAAUCAAGAUAUGGACACAAGCAAUAAGAAGUCUUUGCUUGGGAUGCUUUCAUUUGCAUUAUACAAGAUACAACCAGUUUUCACAACAUAUUCUUGACAAUUCCAUUCGCUGAUUUGGUUAAAAGAUAAGUAUCUUAAAUGGUGUACGUAGCACAUAUUUUAGGUCUACCUAAUGCAAAAUGCGCCAUGACGCUAGAGACUUGACAAAAUCAUAUUAAGCUGUAUGGAAUCCAUGGCAGAUACUACUAGACAUAUCUUACAUGAUUGUGAAGAACCAUAACCUGAUAUGCAAAUGCCCAAUUCUAUAUAUUCCAAGGCAGCAAAGAAAAGGACUUUAGGAAGGAUAGUGAGACUCUUAACUUCUUCAGCACAAAAUUGAUAAUGCUCAACUGAAGCCAUGGGAAUGGAGCCAGCGAACAAUCCUGGAUUUUCUUGUCUCUGUAGACACGCCACAACUUUGCAACCAUUGCUUUGAAGCCUGAGAAAAUAAAUGAUCCAUUGAACACUUUGAUAUACCAAGACCUGAUUCUUCAUCUUCACAAGCUGAAGCAUCAUUGAAAAUUAACUUUCUCACCUUCUCUGUGUCCACAAUGCUGACUCCCUUGCUAUAGAGGGCCUGAUAUUGGGAAGAAGAAAAAGAGAGCGAGCCAAAGCAAUUAUUUCCUUCCACAUCAAGAAAACUAAUGACUUGGUCCUUUCAUAAACAUGAAUAGCCUGGAAUUCCGAGUCACAUCAUCAUUGGUAGCAUCUCAGUCAAAUGACAAACACAUAGGGGUAAAAUGAUAUCAUGCGAAAGGACUUCUUUUAAAACAUCAUACACCUACUCAGAUUCCAUUUCCCACUAAUCAACUACUAAAUUAGAUUAAUUGCGGUAAUCAGCUACUAAAUUAGAUCAACUACUAAAUUAGACUAAUCAACUACUCAGAUUCCAUUGGCCACCACAUUAAUUGUGGGGUGGGAGGUCAAGGUUCAAACCUUGCCUCCCAUCAAUAUGCCUCUUUAUGAGGAUUGUUCUAAAUCCAUACGGUGCGUAGUGCACCUGUCUGGUCUAAUGUUAGUUUAGUCCCCGUCAGAUUCCUCGGCUCAGUUUGGCCACCCCCUUAGAGUAGGCUCCCCCCCUCCCUCCCACAAAAAAAGCUAAGAGUAGGCUAGAUGCGCCGUUACGAAAAAAAAUUCUAAAUUAGAUAUUUAGAUAUGGCCAGCUUGAUUAACAUGAGUGCAAAUUAGUAGAAACGCAUUAUUAACACUUCUCCCUCAUGAGGAUUUUCAUAUCUACAUACUGUACCUUUGACUGUUUACCUUCGUCAAAUGUGGCUACCCUAACUGCCGGAAAAGCAUUUACUUCAAGAAGGAAAUUCCAAUCCCAAUCACAAAGAUUAAAUUAAAUCAAUCAUGCAGAGUCUGAUACAUCAUCUAGUAACAGUUAUUGUCGAGCAAACUACACUUGGAAUGCAGAACUGAGAUGUUUGUACUAAAACAACAGAAAACAUUGUAAAACAAAAUGUAAGGAGCCACUCAACUGUUUUCGAUAAUUCACUACCCAUCUCCAUUGGGCGAAGGCACAGGGGAAUUAUCUAUAUGAAGAGAAGGAAACUAAUAACCUCGGUGGCAUCAACCUGAAAAGGAGCAAAGGCAACCAGAAAAGUAUAGCUAGCACAAUCCAAGUAAUAUAGAACAUGACACAAGUGAACUUUCGAGAGUAGCUCAAUUAAUACAUUUCAAGGAUGGCAUAUUUCAUUCGACACAAUAACAAAUUGAAGAAAUGAGGAUAGCUACAUUAAAGUUGCACUAUAAUUAGUAAGUUUCAUAUCCUUCACCUCUGGUGACGAUGGAUAACACUUGAAGAAAAGAAGAAAAGCUGAAGGAAUCAGAUAGGAAUGAACCCUACAAUUUUUAGAGCUACAUUAAAGCUACUGUAAAAUCAUUUUUAAAAAAAAAUCUACAAUUUUUCAUGCAAUUAUCAUAUUUUUUCUAUAGGCAUACUGGGAGGUUGAAGGUAGAUGCUGCAUUACAAUAUACAACAAUUGAGGCUCCCUAACCUUAGGGGCUUCUUUGCCUACAGAUUUCUAGUAAAGGAAGGGGAUAGGUGAUAAGAAAAUAUCAAUCAGAAAUCCCACAAUUCUCUGAUCAAAGGUCAGAACAGAAAAGUUUUUUGAGCAAGGUAGUUAUGCUAUACUCACCAAUUCAGACUUGAAAGAAGAAAGUGCAGCACAUCAUGAUCUGCAUAGUUGAACAUUCUUGUACCCCAGAACUUGUGAUUGCCUACCUACCAGUGCGAGAAGAGUUGGACAAACAUAAAAUUAUGCUCCUUGUGCACCAUAUUAGAGCAUGUCUGUGUGUUUGUAUGUCUGUAUAUGUGUGUGUGCCAAAAAGAGAGAGAGAUUGACUAGAAACAGAAAAAAGAUGGAGUUCAUAAGGUUAAUGAACCAACAAAUGUAUCAUAAAACAAACUGAUACAGUGAGAAAAACUUCCAAAACCAGAAGCUUAUAUGGCAUGGACAAAAACUUCUCUGUGAUGGAAUAGAAAGGAGCAUAACUUAUCACCACCUUAAAGGACAUCCCCCCCUCCUUUUCUAUUCCCUAUUAACUUCCAGUAUGUAAAUUCUAGACCAACCAAAAAACAAUAUCAGUAUAAACUAUUGGUAAGAAUCUUGAUCAAUGCUAAGCUAGAAAACCUCAUUUCCACUGGAUCUGGCAUACAAUCACACCUUAUAACUUGAAAAUUAACUCAUCAAACAAGCAAAUUAGUAUUACUUUGAAUAAUUUCCUAAGAUGAGAGUGACCAUGUGACAGUACUCAAAAGGACACCUAGUAGUAGCAGGUCAAGAAAACAAUAGGAUCAAUCUGUAAAUAUAAUCAAUUCAUAGAAGUGACAACUGACUUUUGUAUGUUGAGUAAAAUCUACAAGGAAAAUGUAAGCCAAACUUCCUCAUUCAGCACACAUGCUAAUAACUUGGUAAAAACAGUUCAGAAGAAAGAGCGGAAAAACCACUAUCUUAUACUAAUAAUUCUGUUAUUCUUCUUCUCCUCUCUCGAAUCAAUCAAUUAUCAGUUUGUUUAAUGGCUUGUUAAAAGGGUAGCACACGGACAGCUCAAAUUUAUCAUUGACUACUUCUAGUCUUCUGGCUUAAAAGAAAACUAAUUUGUUUAUGAAGAACAUUUCUCAAUAUGAAUAUAUAAAAGUCACUUCCACACUUAAAGGGGAGAAUGGCUUUAGUAAUUUCUUCUAAAAUCUUACAAGUUAAUUUUUUUAACUGAAAAUUAAGAGAACCAAUUCUUUUCCUUAUUCUGAUAAUAGAUGACAAAUUUCACAAUAGGUAUUUUUUUCAACAGGUAUAGAUUAAAUAUUGGCACACAAAUGAUGAAAGAUAGAAGUUAUAGGUCAUCAGAGAAAAGCAAAGAAGCACAUGCAUAUUUCUAUGAAUUACAAGUCAAUUUUCAAAAAUUACCAUGUGCUAAGUCAACCAAGCGCUUAAGGUCCUCUAGCGUACCAUAACAGCUGCUAACAGCAUAAAAAUUAGUCACCUGUUGAAGAAUUGAAAUAUUAUGCUACUGAAAAGGUAAUUUGACAGCAGUCAGCUUUUACUGAACUAGAAAAUCCGUUGGAUAACCGAGUUGCAUAAGUGAAAAUAUUUUCAAUCUGAGCAUGUACAUCUCUUAGGACACUCAGUGAGUAGAAAUAUUAGAGGAUGCAUUCUAGCACAUUUGAAUUCUGUCUGCAGUAAAAAGCAGGUUUUCUAAGUCUGCAUUCGGUCCAGGAGUUCACUGUAUAAUGGAGAAUGCAUGAGACCCGUCAAAAUAUACUUCAUCCAAAAGAUCAAUAGGUCACAAAUAUAUUUCCAAUUUGAUAGUCCUAUCUUGCAGCCUUUUCAAAUCCUAAUUCCACAGGAAGAUUUAUGCAAGUAAAACAAUAUGGUACUAAUUACCAAAUUCAAGAAAAGAUUCAUGUCAUGGUACAUUAAGAGAUUGUAGUUCAACACUUGGUUAUUACUUCAUGAAGGAAUAUGGAUAAUGAACAUCUAAUUCCGAACUCACUCUAUAAAAGUAGUCUUUGUGCUCAACAAGUCCAAUCAAUUGGAUUGCAUUGUAACCAGAUUCUUUUACGUGUGGCAGGACCUAUAAAGAUGAAGUUGCAAUUAAAGGGCAGAAUAUAACAGGAAAUAAAGACAACAAAAGCAAAAAAAAAAAAAAAAGUAAAAUAACUUGAAGAAUUGCCUUUUGAAUGAAAGUAUCACAAGAUGCAACUUUUGCAUCUUGUCCACUAAUUCCAACAUGACAUUCACAUAUGCGUAAAGACUUUGGCUUUGGUCGAUUCUCGUGCUUCCAUUUAUAUUUAGAUUCAGAAGGCAGUUCCCAGUGGAUUGCGAAAGCUUGCUUGCGAUCUUCAUCUGCAUGUUCAAAUAGCAUUCAAUAUUGAACUGCUACAGGAUGACAGCACAGAAAUAAAUGAUACACAAAACAAAAUCAAUAAAAAAAGGUGUGUGGCAAUGAUGGGAAGUCAAUUAGAGGUAAGGAUACAUUCUUCAUUUAACUCUGACAUCAGUGCAGCAUGAAUGUCAAAACUUUGUGUUUUGCCUCUAUCUUUGUAGGAAUACAAAAAAUUAACUAGUAUUGCUUUUUCUCAUGAAACUUGUUUUACUACCACUAAAAGGAAAAUACCUAUACUGACACAAGAAUAUCACCCGAAUAAGUUCAUUUCUGAGACCAAAAUCAAGUUAAGCAGAGCAAUUAAUGUUGCCAAGUAAAGUUACUUCAAAAGUAAAGAGAGUACAUGGUCAGCAAUGUACCUCCAAAAAACAAAAAUUAAUGGAACACAUGUUCGAACCAUGAAAAUGAUUACCUUUACAAGUGAAGUGGCGUACAAUAGUGUGAGCAUUAAAUUAUACUAUUUAAGCAUCACUUUGCAAACUACGUGAACAGAUAAGAGAUGCUAGCAACCACUGGAUACCUGGGACUACAUAAAUGGCCCAGGCAGGAACCCUUUCCAGAGGCCCCGCUGGAGUAUUACAAUAUACUCUAUAUUUGCUCCUGUGGGGGAUACCAGGCAUAUACUUUUUCAACCACAAUUUCCUUCCUUUAUGAGUCUUCAACCAGUUGGCAAUGGGAGGACUCUUAGAAUGGAAUUUCUCUAGCCAUAUGGGAUCGUCUAUGAUGUUGAAAACAUCAUAUUCUUUCAUUCCAGUCUCUAUCACGUGAGUAGAAGGUAAAUUGCUUGAUAAAUCAUCUCCAUGCUGCACUUUCCAGGCCUUUUACCUAGUCCCCAGAUCAGCUAUCUCUUCCAGCUCCUCUUUUGUUUGAGGCCCAUUAGGGCCAAAUAUCUGCUCAUACAGCUUAGCUGCCACCUCAUAAUGUGACUUAAUGAAGCGGUUUUCACCAGGUUCCCAAUAUUCAUCAUUUGCUUUCUUAAACAUCUCUUCCAUUGUAAUCCCAUUGUCACCUUUAUCAUAAUCAUCCACAUAAUUGUACUGUUGAAAGUAGUAUUCAUCUGGUUCUUCACCUUCCGUAAAUGUCUUCAAAAAUCAUAAACCAGUAACCAUAGUCAUCAUGGCCAAAAUGACCUUCCCUGGCACAAUUUUCAGUGGGUGACCAGCCAUUAAAAUAUCCAACAAUAGCACAAUAACAAGCACUGAAUGUCAAGAUUUUCAGCUUCACAUAUGAGCUUCACAAGCAAUGGUAAUUGCAUUCAGAAACAACACAUGUCUGAACUUAAAGUGGAGAUGCUAAAUCCUAAUCCUAAACUAACAUCUAUAAAAACAUUUUAAGACUGAUAUUUAAGCUUCCAGAUAUUUAAACUAAAACUUCUAGACAUGAACUACUCUUACAUGGUGUCUAAAACUAAAACAUCUCUUAGAUAAGCUUCCAGAUACGCCCACCAACGAGCUCGAAUUUGAACUAAGCAAGAAAAGACACUUGCCCUCAUACAAACAAUAUCCUCAGAGAUGUUGUCAAACCUGGAGCCCACUCCAAGAAAUCCACCCGAUGCUGUGCAUUUCGUUGCAUUCCUAGUAGUUCAUAUCUAGAAUUCAAAAACAUAGGCAUCACUCCAGUAGUUCAUAUCUAGUAAUAAGAAACAUAGGCAUCACUAGUAACACACAUGCUAUAAUUGCUAAUUAUGGAAAAAAUAAAGAGAAUUCAGCUAAGAAUUCUGACAAACACUUGGAUAUCAAAAACAACGAAAGUCAGUAACUUUCAAAAACAUGAGGAACUAGAACUUUAAAUAAUAGUAUAAGAUAGCCCAAUAUUAAUAUGUGAAAAAGAAAGAAAGCACUAACCCAGAAGCCAGCUCCUCAGGUUGAGGUAACGUUAAACAUCCCAUCGCGCGAGUAAAAGUGAAAAAUCAAACUAGGUAUCUCUUCUAAUAAAAACCAAAACUUUCAUAAUUACGAGGAAAACAAGAAGGGCUAAAGGUCAAACAAUACUAGCUUUCACGAAGGAAAAAGGCGAAGGCUUUAUGUGAAAUGCCAUGUUUGGUGAGGAACCCAACCGGGUAGACCCCUUUAUCUUUAUCAGCAUGCUGGGUUUGGCUUACCUUAGUAGCUCCAACAUUGCUUCUUUGGGGAAUCCGAAACUGCUGCGUUUCCGGGAAGGGUUCCAUUUUUGCCGGCUCGGAAGAGGAAUUUGAGAGGAGGAUAUUCCUCCGAAUUGGUGGAAAGUAAUGAAAUUUUAGUCGAGUUCGUCAAUGAUGCCAUCAUAAUCGAUGCUGCUAAAUUUUUGCCGCAGUUUGCAAGUAUAGAGAGUAGAGGCAGUAGAAAAGUAAGAGAGAGGAGUUUUGUGCAGUUAAAUGAAAUUGAUUUUUUUUUCUUUUUUGGUAAAUAAAGAUGCAUUAAAAUAAAAAGUGAAUUGUACGGAGUAACAGUUGAAUGAAAUUAAUUACAGUCAGGUGGCAUGGCGCAAGGACUCGUGUGGUAACAGUUGAAUGAAAUUAAUUACAGUCAGGUGGCAUGGCGCAAGGACUUUGGAUUGAGACUUUUUGCAUAAAGUUAUCCUAGUCUGGUGCCUAGUUACAUCUUUGGGGUUGAGGUUUGUGGCUUGGCUUGUGGCUUGUGGCUUGUGGCUUGUGGUCUAGUGCCUGGGUUCCAGCUUCAGCUUGUGAGCUCGAGCUUUGUGGCUUAUGGAGUGGCUUAUUGUAAAGACGAAAAGAAGCCUAUUAGCUAAACGUUCUAUCUCGCUAAACGGGGUUAAUGUAGUAAUUUCAACUUGCCCUAGGGUUUGCCAGCAAAGUACAAGUUAGACUGCAAAGCUGCUAUAAAUCACAACUUAUCUCCGUCACUUCGUAGUUUGCCUGUUCUCCACCUCUUCUUCUUCUUCUCUCUGUCUCUCUCUCUCUCCCCCUAACCCGUUUACUCAACCUAAAUGACCACCAAUUCCUAAUUUCGUAUGAGUCAUCUCCUCCUCAUAAAAAUCAAAAGGAAAAAGGAAAAAAAACUCCAUCGCCUUCUCCUACUACCUCUUGCUUCUCAAAUCCCUGGAUAUGAUCCUUCUAUAUGUCAAAUUCCUGUAUCUGAUUUGAUUGCUUUUAUAUGUUUAGAUCUGGCCUACUUCCACCUGUUAGUCGCUCCAGCACACCUUCAGAUGGCGUUAAUUGGUAUGAAGACGGGGAAGGUGUUCAUAAAUGAGGCAAACACCCUCACAAAGAGCAAGGUUGACAACACCUGUCUAUACUUUUCCUUCUUCCUAGUCCAAGAUUUCAUCUUUUAACCGAAAAACAGGAAAAAAAUUGAAAACGCCCAAUCGCCUCCUCCUAUCACCUCUUGCUUAAUUCCUUCUAUAUUUCAAAUUCCUGUAUCUAAUUGGAUUGCUCUUAUAUGUUUCGAUCUGGCCUACUUCCACCUGUUAGUCGCUCCAGAGGCAUCUUCACCUUCAUAUGGGGUUAAUUGGUAUGAAGACGGGGAAGGUGUUCACAAAUCAGGCAAACACACUCACAGAGAGCAAGGUUGACACCUCUGUCUAUAUUUUUCCUUCUUCCUAGCCCAAGAUUUCAUCUUUUGACCGAAAUGCAGAAAAAAAAAAACAAAAUUAAAAAAGGCGCAUCGCUUCCUCCUACUACCUCUUGUUUCUCAAAUUCCUGGAUAUGAUUUAAUUCCUUCUAUAUGUCAAAUUCCUAUAUCUGAUUUGAUUGCUUUUAUAUGUUUAGAUCUGGCCUAUUCCAUCUGUUAGUCGCUCCUCUGUUAAUCGCUCCAGUGGCAUCUUCACCUUCAGAUGGCUUUAAUUGGUAUGAAGACGGGGAAGAUGUUCACAAAUCAGGCAAACACCCUCACAGAGAACAAGGUUCGCACUUGUGUACGAAUCAAGAUUUUAUUUUUAACCAGAUACCUCUUCCGUCUACCAUUCCGAUCCAAUAUUCCAUCUUUAACCGAAAACGGAUACCUCUUCUAUUUACCAAUUCAAGAUUUGAUCUUUAACAAAACUUCUUGUCUUGUAUUUUUCCUAUCUUUACCCAAAACGGAUUUCGCCUAUAAUUUUUUUUGAUACUUUGUGGUAAGUGCGAUUGUCCUUUUUCUUGAAUUUUUUUUUGAAAUAGUUUUGUUUUAAAAUUAUUUUGACUCACCCUAAUUUUUUGAGCCCAAAAAAUCAAAUGUUGUUUUGGGUCUAUUCGUGAUAGAACCCAAAACAAACAUUUGUUUUGGGCUCUCACGUUUGGACCCAAAAAAUAUUUAAGUUUUUUGUGAUGGAUGUACUAAGUCAGGAGACGAACAUUUUUUCACCAUUUUGCCCACUAUUUUUGUGAUCAUUUGUUUUGGGCUCUAUAACAUUUGGAUCCAAAAAAUAUACAAGUUUUUUGUGAUGGACGUACUAAUUCAGAAGACUACAUUCUCUCUCUUCCUUUUCCGGCAAGGGCCAAAUGGUAACAUUUUUCCACCAUCUUGCCUACAAUUUUUGUGAUCAGAUCUGGAACUUUGGCCCAUAGAUUAAUAAGUUUUUGAGCCCAUUAUAAAAAUUGUUAACCCUAAUCCUCUGCAGAAGUCUAACUAUGUUACGUACGCCUCCUUUUUGCCCUUUUUCCCUCUCUCAUGUUUUCAUGUCUCCUCUGCAGAAGUCUAACUAUGCUACGUAAGUCUCCUUUUUGCCAUUUUUCCCUCUCUCAUGUUUUCAUGUCAUUUUUGGAUUUUUAAUGUCAUUUUUUGCUGUGUAGGUUUUCCCAGAUUGCCGUUGUUAUCUGCACUUGCACCUGAUGCUGAUGUUAAAGGUAUUGGUAUUUAUUUUUUAUUUUAUUUUUAUGGAGAAGAUUGUAAUAAUUUUUUUAAUUUAUUGUGAUUUCUUUUUUAUGGAGAUCUAAUAUUGGUUUAUUCCUUUCACUUUUUAGUUUUUUGGGUUUAAUAUUUGUUGAUUUUUUUUGUUUUAAUAUUUGUUGAUUUUUUUUUCAAGAGUCUGCUAUCCCCCCAUUUUGCCGUCUACAUAUGGCUGGGACGGAGAAUCUGCAUUUGAAGAAGGGCAUGUUAGUACGUUAAUGUUACGGCAAAAUGGGGGGAUAGCAGACCCUUGAAAAAAAAAUCAACAAAUAUUAAAACAAAAAAAACAACAAAUAUUAAACCCAAAAAACUAAAAACUGAAAGGAAUAAACCAAUAUUAGAUCUCCAUUAAAAAGAAAUCACAAUAAAUUAAAAAAAUUAUUACAAUCUCCUCCAUAAAAAUAAAAUAAAAAAAUAAAUACCAAUACCUUUAGCAUCAGCAUCAGGUGCAAGUGCAGAUAACAACGGCAAUCUGGGAAAACCUACACAGCAAAAAAUGACAUUAAAAAUUCAAAAAUGACAUGAAAACAUGAGAGAGGGAAAAAGGGCAAAAAGGAGGCGUACGUAGAGAAUCCUCUGCAGAAGUCUAACAAUUUCGCCUAUAAUUUUUUUUGAUACUUUGUGGUAAGUGCGAUUGUCCUUUUUCUUGAAUUAUUUUUUGAAAUAGUUUUGUUUUAAAAUUAUUUUGACUCACCCUAAUUUUUUGAGCCCAAAAAAUCAAAUGUUGUUUUGGGCCUAUUCGUGAUAGAAUCCAAAACAAACAUUUGUUUUGGACUCUCACAUUUGGAUCCAAAAAAUAUUUAAGUUUUUUGUGAUGGAUGUACUAAGUCAGGAGACGAACAUUUUUCCACCAUUUUUGUGAUCAUUUGUUUUGGGCUCUGUAACAUUUGGAUCCAAAAAAUAUACAAGUUUUUUGUGAUGGACGUACUAAUUCAGAAGACUACAUUCUCUCUUUUUUCUUUCUCUUCCUUUUCUGGCAAGGGCCAAAUGGUAACAUUUUUCCACCAUCUCUCCUACAAUUUUUGUGAUCAGAUCUGAAAUUUUGUCCCAUAGAUUAAUAAGUUUUUGAGCCCAUUAUAAAAAUUGUUAACCCUAAUCCUCUGCAGAAGUCUAACUAUGCUACGUACGCUUCCUUUUUGCCCUUUUUCCCUCUCUCAUGUUUUCAUGUCUCCUUUGCAGAAGUCUAACUAUGCUACGUACGCCUCCUUUUUGCCCUUUUUCCCUCUCUCAUGUUUUUAUGUCAUUUUUGGAUUUUUAAUGUCAUUUUUUGCUGUGUAGGUUUUCCCAGAUUGCCGUUGUUAUCUGCACUUGCACCUGAUGCUGAUGCUAAAGGUAUUGGUAUUUAUUUUUUUAUUUUAUUUUUAUGGAGGAGGUUGUAAUAAUUUUUUUAAUUUAUUGUGAUUUCUUUUUUAUGGAGAUCUAAUAUUGGUUUAUUCCUUUCAGUUUUUAGUUUUUUGGGUUUAAUAUUUGUUGUUUUUUUUUGUUUUAAUAUUUGUUGAUUUUUUUUUCAAGGGUCUGCUAUCCCCCCAUUUUGCCGUAAUAUUAACGUACUAACCUGCCCUUCUUCAAAUGCAGAUUCUCCGUCCCAGCCAUAUGUAGACGGAAAAAUGGGGGGAUAGCAGACCCUUGAAAAAAAAAUCAACAAAUAUUAAAACAAAAAAAAUCAACAAAUAUUAAACUCAAAAAACUAAAAACUGAAAGGAAUAAACCAAUAUUAGAUCUCCAUAAAAAAGAAAUCACAAUAAAUUAAAAAAAUUAUUACAAUCUUCUCCAUAAAAAUAAAAUAAAAAAUAAAUACCAAUACCUUUAACAUCAGCAUCAGGUGCAAGUGCAGAUAACAACGGCAAUCUAGGAAAACCUACACAGCAAAAAAUGACAUUAAAAAUCCAAAAAUGACAUGAAAACAUGAGAGAGGGAAAAAGGGCAAAAAGGAGGCGUACGUAGCAUAGUUAGACUUCUGCAGAGGAUUAGGGUUAACAAUUUUUAUAAUGGGCUCAAAAACUUAUUAAUGUAUGGGCCAAAGUUCCAGAUCUGAUCACAAAAAUUGUAGGCAAGAUGGUGGAAAAAUGUUACCAUUUGGCCCUUGCCGGAAAAGGAAGAGAAAGAAAAAAGAGAGAGAAUGUAGUCUUCUGAAUUAGUACGUCCAUCACAAAAAACUUGUAUAUUUUUUGGAUCCAAAUGUUACAGAGCCCAAAACAAAUGAUCACAAAAAUAGUGGGCAAAAUGGUGGAAAAAUGUUCGUCUCCUGACUUAGUACAUCCAUCACAAAAAACUUAAAUAUUUUUUGGGUCCAAACGUGAGAGCCCAAAACAAAUGUUUGUUUUGGGUUCUAUCACGAAUAGGCCCAAAACAACAUUUGAUUUUUUGGGCUCAAAAAAUUAGGGUGAGUCAAAAUAAUUUUAAAACAAAACUAUUUCAAAAAAAAAUUCAAGAAAAAGGACAAUCGCACUUACCACAAAGUAUCAAAAAAAAUUAUAGGCGAAAUCCGUUUUGGGUAAAGAUAGGAAAAAUACAAGACAAGAAGUUUUGUUAAAGAUCAAAUCUUGAAUUGGUAAGUAGAAGAGGUAUCCGUUUUCGGUUAAAGAUGAAAUAUUGGAUCGGAAUAAUAGACGGAAGAGGUAUCUGGUUAAAAAUAAAAUCUUGAUUCGUACACAAGUGCGAACCUUGUUCUCUGUGAGGGUGUUUGCCUGAUUUGUGAACAUCUUCCCCGUCUUCAUACCAAUUAAAGCCAUCUGAAGGUGAAGAUGCCACUGGAGCGAUUAACAGAGGAGCAACUAACAGAUGGAAUAGGCCAGAUCUAAACAUAUAAAAGCAAUCAAAUCAGAUAUAGGAAUUUGACAUAUAGAAGGAAUUAAAUCAUAUCCAGGAAUUUGAGAAACAAGAGGUAGUAGGAGGAAGCGAUGCGCCUUUUUUAAUUUUAUUUUUUUUUUCUGCAUUUCGGUCAAAAGAUGAAAUCUUGGGCUAGGAAGAAGGAAAAAUAUAGACAGAGGUGUCAACCUUGCUCUCUGUGAGUGUGUUUGCCUGAUUUGUGAACACCUUCCCCGUCUUCAUACCAAUUAACCCCAUAUGAAGGUGAAGAUGCCUCUGGAGCGACUAACAGGUGGAAGUAGGCCAGAUCGAAACAUAUAAGAGCAAUCCAAUUAGAUACAGGAAUUUGAAAUAUAGAAGGAAUUAAGCAAGAGGUGAUAGGAGGAGGCGAUGCGGCGUUUUCAAUUUUUUUCCUGUUUUUCGGUUAAAAGAUGAAAUCUUGGACUAGGAAGAAAGAAAAGUAUAGACAGGUGUUGUCAACCUUGCUCUCUGUGAGGGUGUUUGCCUCAUUUAUGAACACCUUCCCCGUCUUCAUACCAAUUAACGCCAUCUGAAGGUGAAGAUGCCACUGGAGCGACUAACAGGUAGAAGUAGGCCAGAUCUAAACAUAUAAAAGCAAUCAAAUCAGAUACAGGAAUUUGACAUAUAGAAGAAUCAUAUCCAGGGAUUUGAGAAGCAAGAGGUAGUAGGAGAAAGCGAUGGAGUUUUUUUUCCUUUUUCCUUUUGAUUUUUAUGAGGAGGAGGAGAUGACUCAUACGAAAUCAGGAAUUGGUGGUGGUUUAGGUUGAGUAAACGGGUUGGGGGGAGAGAGAGAGAGACAGAGAGAAGAAGAAGAAGAAGAAGAAGAAGAAGAGGUGGAGAACAGGCAAACUACGAAGUAACGGAGAUAAGUUGUGAUUUAUAGCAGCUUUGCAGUCUGACUUGUACUUUGCUGGCAAACCCUAGGGCAAGUUGAAAUUACUACAUUAACCCCGUUUAGCGAGAUAGAACGUUUAGCUAAUAGGCUUCUUUUCGUCUUUACAACAAGCCACUCCAUAAGCCACAAAACUCGAGCUCACAAGCUGAAGCUGGAACCCAGGCACUAGACCACAAGCCACAAGCCAAGCCACAAACCUCAACCCCAGAGAUGGAACUAGGCACCAGACUAGGAUAACUUUAUGCAAAAAGUCUCAAUCCAAAGUCCUUGCGCCAUGCCACCUGACUGUAAUUAAUUUCAUUCAACUGUUACCACACGAGUCCUUGUGCCAUGCCACCUGACUGUAAUUAAUUUCAUUCAACUGUUACUCCGUACAAUUCACUUUUUAUUUUAAUGCAUCUUUAUUUACCAAAAAAGAAAAAAAAUCAAUUUCAUUUAACUGCACAAAACUCCUCUCUCUUACUUUUCUACUGCCUCUGCUCUCUAUACUUGCAAACUGCGGCAAAAAUUUAGCAGCAUCGAUUAUGAUGGCAUCAUUGACGAACUCGACUAAAAUUUCAUUACUUUCCACCAAUUCGGAGGAAUAUCCUCCUCUCAAAUUCCUAUUCCAAGCCGGCAAAAAUGGAACCCUUCCCGGAAACGCAGCAGUUUCGGAUUCCCCAAAGAAGCAAUGUUGGAGCUGCUAAGGUAAGCCAAACCCAGCAUGCUGAUAAAGAUAAAGGGGUCUACCCGGUUGGGUUCCUCACCAAACAUGGCAUUUCACAUAAAGCCUUCGCCUUUUUCCUUCGUGAAAGCUAGUAUUGUUUGACCUUUAGCCCUUCUUGUUUUCCUCGUAAUUAUGAAAGUUUUGGUUUUUAUUGGAAGAGAUACCUAGUUUGAUUUUUCACUUUUACUCGCGCGAUGGGAUGUUUAACGUUACCUCAACCUGAGGAGCUGGCUUCUGGGUUAGUGCUUUCUUGCUCUUUCACAUAUUAAUAUUGGGCUAUCUUAUACUAUUAUUUAAAGUUCUAGUUCCUCAUGUUUUUGAAAGUUACUGACUUUCGUUGUUUUUGAUAUCCAAGUGUUUGUCAGAAUUCUUAGCUGAAUUCUCUUUAUUUUUUCCAUAAUUAGCAAUUAUAGCAUGUGUGUUACUAGUGAUGCCUAUGUUUCUUAUUACUAGAUAUGAACUACUGGAGUGAUGCCUAUGUUUUUGAAUUCUAGAUAUGAACUACUAGGAAUGCAACGAAAUGAUAAACAUCUCAGUCAAAUGAUAAACAUCAACAUUGGUAGCAUCUCAGUCAAAUGAUAAACAUCAUACAUCUGAUCUCUUAUACCACCAUUUUUUCUUUUGUAUGCAGCAAAUAAAAAAGGUGCAAGAACAAAGAUAAAGCUACCUCUAAACCAAACCUUCUCUAAUAACUAGAUAAAAGAAAGGGUCCGUUGGGAUUUAACAGAUUAUCGGAGGUGUCAGUGGCCUAUGUGGAUAGACCGGCAGAUGCUGAAAUACCAAAACAGCAUGCCCAAUGCUUGAUAAAAAUUAACAGGAUAAAGAAGUCUUCUUGAGCCUAUCCACUCCUUAACAUUAGAGACCACAGAUCAUGCCCAGUGUAUUAAUAACAAUAAACAGGAUGAAGAAGUCUUCUUAAGCCUAUCCACUGUUUAGAUAUUAGGGUCCAUAGGAGGUUUCUCACAUUUUGAAUGGUAAUUUUAGUGGCCAACUUUCCAGCAAUAGAGGUCUGAAUAUGGGAAAAGGGUAAUAUUAGCAAAAUCUUGAAUACAUUACUUCAAAAGCAUAUCAAUAUGGCAUUUUGCCUCAACAUCUAAACAGGAAAAGUGAUUUAAAGAAGAGCACAAUUUACCUUUUUUAGUCGCCUCGGACCCCAAGUUGAGGACGACCAUCUAGAACGGGAAAAUGUUUCCGCAUACAAGCCAUCAUUGAUAAAGCCUCUGCAGUAAGCUACAAACAUUGAAGACUUGCAGAAAAGAUGAACUUUAGGUUAUUUAUGUGCAAUUUGGGGUAGCAUGGUUGGUAUUUUCUAACGAAAAGCCAUGAAAUCAUUACAGCAACUAGUAUAAAGACCAUCAAGCUUCUUUACCAGAAAUUGUGCAUCCAUG
This 19315-nucleotide long non-coding RNA is filed under the name Coffea arabica (coffee). RNAcentral's name for it is "long non-coding RNA (CARA_LNC003627)". The record is from RNAcentral. Lineage: Eukaryota; Viridiplantae; Streptophyta; Magnoliopsida; Gentianales; Rubiaceae.